UGCUUACAAGGUGAUAGCUGAGGGGAGU
RNAcentral lists this non-coding RNA (28 nucleotides) under Mus musculus (house mouse). Lineage: Eukaryota; Metazoa; Chordata; Mammalia; Rodentia; Muridae. The record is from RNAcentral. RNAcentral also lists the same sequence under 1 other name.